This is a long non-coding RNA of Gossypium arboreum, 703 nucleotides long. RefSeq lists it as uncharacterized. NCBI's taxonomy places the organism in Eukaryota, Viridiplantae, Streptophyta, Magnoliopsida, Malvales, Malvaceae. The record is from RefSeq and is a predicted model, not a curated record. The transcript is spliced from 2 exons.
CAAAAUGAAAUGAUGCACAAAUUAGCAGGCCAAAUUUUAAAAUACAAGGUAAGCCAAAUGGGCACAAAUUGAAGACUCGCGCAAGAGGGGGAUCUAACGUGCAAAUCUUCCAUUUAAUAAAAUGGUGCAAAUCCAUUCCACCUUUUGGGCCAAUGCGCAGACCUUUAUGCUGUAAACAGCGCCACUUGGCUUUGUGAAUGAUUUUAAACCCCCUUUCCUUCAAACAUAACCUAAUUUCAACCAUUUUUUAGAAGUAGCAGCAGCCAUUAACUCCCAAAUGAUAGCGUUUCAUUUGGCUAACAGACGACGAGCCAAUAUUGGACUAAUGGCCGACGACAUGCGAUUAACAACCCAACCUUUGCCCGUGAAGAUUGCAAUCAUGGAGAUCUGGCUCAAUUGUACGGAGAAGAUGACCCGGGGAUCUCGCGUGGACAACCAUCCCUCUGGUAUUCUUCCAGUAUAUUCCAGGAGCUGCUGCUGAAACUCUCCUUCUUUUGUGUUCCUUUGGGUUUGGGCUAGGAUAUGGAUUCAUUAAAGUUGGGUUUUAGGACCUUAUGGGUUAAGUGUUUAUUGGGCUAAGUGUUUAUUUAUGUAAUUUAAAAAAAUUGUAAAUGGACUUUUGGACUAUUUAAUCCUGGACUGUAUUUAUUUAUUUGGGUUUAUUUAAAUAAAUUAAAUGGGCCCGGGUAAAAUUGGUAGACUA